GAUGAACGCUGGCGGCGUGCCUAAUACAUGCAAGUCGAGCGAACAGACGAGGAGCUUGCUCCUCUGACGUUAGCGGCGGACGGGUGAGUAACACGUGGAUAACCUACCUAUAAGACUGGGAUAACUUCGGGAAACCGGAGCUAAUACCGGAUAAUAUAUUGAACCGCAUGGUUCAAUAGUGAAAGACGGUUUUGCUGUCACUUAUAGAUGGAUCCGCGCCGCAUUAGCUAGUUGCUAAGGUAACGGCUUACCAAGGCAACGAUGCGUAGCCGACCUGAGAGGGUGAUCGGCCACACUGGAACUGAGACACGGUCCAGACUCCUACGGGAGGCAGCAGUAGGGAAUCUUACGCAAUGGGCGAAAGCCUGACGGAGCAACGCCGCGUGAGUGAUGAAGGUCUUCGGAUCGUAAAACUCUGUUAUUAGGGAAGAACGAAUGUGUAAGUAACUAUGCACGUCUUGACGGUACCUAAUCAGAAAGCCACGGCUAACUACGUG
This 497-nucleotide ribosomal RNA is filed under the name uncultured bacterium. RNAcentral's name for it is "partial 16S ribosomal RNA". It matches the Rfam family "Bacterial small subunit ribosomal RNA", at positions 28 to 507 of the family's 1533-position model. The record is from RNAcentral.